UAUAGCAAUGCGAGUUUGUGCGCCAAAUUUUACAUGCUGCUGCCACAAAGCGAACGUGUCUAAAGCCUGUGAAUCACGUCAGCUGCGGCGCUUCACCGGCUGCCAGCGUGAAAAUUCAAUGCCAGCAAGGAGCUUGGAGACUACCUACGAAAACGGAAUAACCAUGCACCAUGUGGGUGUGCGCACCGCCUCCAAGAAACUGCUCAUAUCAGCACCCGCUCGGAUGCUUUAUCUCUGAACCUACCUCAAGUCAGCAGAGGAUGUUCCACUACAGAAAGUAAAUUCGUCGUCCCAAAUCCUCACAAGGAAACUGGACAAAAGAGAGAUCAUUGGUUUCCAAGCUACCCACACCAAGUCGUAAGAAGCUCAAGAGUCGCCUAUCCACCACCAAAGUUUACCAGGCGGACAAAUGCAAGCCUUAUACUGAAAAGCAGUGAUAGUGUACGGCAUGUUGAAGCAGUACGAA
Long non-coding RNA from Rhipicephalus sanguineus (brown dog tick), 466 nucleotides. RefSeq lists it as uncharacterized. The record is from RefSeq and is a predicted model, not a curated record. Lineage: Eukaryota; Metazoa; Arthropoda; Arachnida; Ixodida; Ixodidae. The transcript is spliced from 3 exons.